This 505-nucleotide ribosomal RNA is filed under the name uncultured bacterium. Its description in RNAcentral is "partial 16S ribosomal RNA". It matches the Rfam family "Bacterial small subunit ribosomal RNA", at positions 899 to 1397 of the family's 1533-position model. The record is from RNAcentral.
ACUCAAAUGAAUAGACGGGGGCCCGCACAAGCGGCGGAGCAUGUGGAUUAAUUCGAUGCAACGCGAAGAACCUUACCAAGGCUUGACAUGUACCGGAAACAUCCAGAGAUGGGUGCCCCGCAAGGUCGGUACACAGGUGGUGCAUGGUUGUCGUCAGCUCGUGUCGUGAGAUGUUGGGUUAAGUCCCGCAACGAGCGCAACCCUCGUUCCAUGUUGCCAGCAACACCUUUUAGGUGGUUGGGGACUCAUGGGAGACUGCCGGGGUCAACUCGGAGGAAGGUGGGGAUGACGUCAAAUCAUCAUGCCCCUUAUGUCUUGGGCUUCACACAUGCUACAAUGGCCGGUACAAAGGGCUGCGAAACCGCGAGGUGGAGCGAAUCCCAAAAAACCGGUCUCAGUUCGGAUUGGGGUCUGCAACUCGACCCCAUGAAGUCGGAGUCGCUAGUAAUCGCAGAUCAGCAACGCUGCGGUGAAUACGUUCCCGGGCCUUGCACACACCGCCCGU